RNAcentral lists this ribosomal RNA (226 nucleotides) under uncultured Corynebacterium sp. RNAcentral describes it as "partial 16S ribosomal RNA". It matches the Rfam family "Bacterial small subunit ribosomal RNA", at positions 568 to 792 of the family's 1533-position model. Lineage: Bacteria; Bacillati; Actinomycetota; Actinomycetes; Mycobacteriales; Corynebacteriaceae. The record is from RNAcentral.
CUCGUAGGUGGUUUGUCGCGUCGUCUGUGAAAUUCCGGGGCUUAACUUCGGGCGUGCAGGCGAUACGGGCAAUACUUGAGUGCUGUAGGGGAGACUGGAAUUCCUGGUGUAGCGGUGGAAUGCGCAGAUAUCAGGAGGAACACCGAUGGCGAAGGCAGGUCUCUGGGCAGUAACUGACGCUGAGGAGCGAAAGCAUGGGUAGCGAACAGGAUUAGAUACCCCCGUA